Molecule: unclassified non-coding RNA, 390 nt
Filed under: soil metagenome
Description: partial contains 5.8S ribosomal RNA, internal transcribed spacer 2, and large subunit ribosomal RNA
Rfam family: 5.8S ribosomal RNA (bases 1-122)
Source: RNAcentral
GAUGAAGAACGCAGCGAAAUGCGAUACUUGGUGUGAAUUGCAGAAUCCCGCGAAUCAUCGAGUUUUUGAACGCAAGUUGCGCCCGAAGCCAUUCGGCCGAGGGCACGUCUGCCUGGGUGUCACGCAUCGUUGCCCCCCCAAACUCCGGUUCGGGCGGGGCGGAAGUUGGCCUCCCGUGUGUGCCUGCGCGCGCGGUUAGCCCAAAAGCGAGUCCUCGGCGACGAGCGCCACGACAAUCGGUGGUUUUUUUACCCUCGUUCCUCGUCGUGCGUGUCCCGUCGCCCGAACGCGCUCUUGUGACCCUCACGCGUCGCCUCGGCGGCGCUCCCAACGCGACUCCAGGUCAGGCGGGACUACCCGCUGAGUUUAAGCAUAUCAAUAAGCGGAGGA